RNAcentral lists this ribosomal RNA (66 nucleotides) under uncultured bacterium. RNAcentral describes it as "partial 16S ribosomal RNA". The record is from RNAcentral.
AGGANCGGGUGUACCUAAAGUCGGUAACCGUAAGGAGCCGCCUAGGGUAAAACUGUGACUGGGGCU